Non-coding RNA from Vicugna pacos (alpaca), 87 nucleotides. NCBI's taxonomy places the organism in Eukaryota, Metazoa, Chordata, Mammalia, Artiodactyla, Camelidae. The record is from RefSeq and is a predicted model, not a curated record.
GUGCUUUUACGAAAUGCAAGGAAGGUGAAGUGCUAGAACAACGCUUGGAAGCUGGAGCAACGUUAGAUCCAAGAGAUCGGAAAAGCA